GACGAACGCUGGCGGCGUGGAUUAGGCAUGCAAGUCGAACGGUAUCAUCCUUUCGGGGGUGAGAGAGUGGCGAACUGGUGAGUAACACGUAGGUUAUCUACCCUCAAGACGGGGACGAACCCAGGGAAACUUGGGCUAAUACCGGAUGUGAGCAACUUUUAGUUGUUUGAAAGGUGGCGUAAGCUGUCGCUUGGGGAUGAGCCUGCGUCCUAUUAGUUAGUUGGUGAGGUAACGGCUCACCUAGGCAAUGAUAGGUAGGCGGCCUUAACGGGUGGUCGCCCACACUGGGAUUGAGAUACGGCCCAGACUCCUACGGGAGGCAGCAGUUCGAGAAUAGUCUACAAUGGUCGGAAGACUGAUAGUGCGACGCCGCGUGAACGAUGAAUCCCUUCGGGGUGUAAAGUUCUUUUAUAUGUGAGCAGUGCUUCUUAUAUUAACAGUAUGGGGAGGGAGAUAUUAGCAUAUGAAUAAGCAACGGCUAACUCCGUGCCAGCAGCCGCGGUAAUCUCGU
Molecule: ribosomal RNA, 511 nt
Filed under: uncultured bacterium
Lineage: Bacteria
Description: bacterial SSU rRNA
Rfam family: Bacterial small subunit ribosomal RNA
Source: RNAcentral